AUUGAACGCUGGCGGCAGGCCUAACACAUGCAAGUCGAGCGGUAGCACAGAGAGCUUGCUCUCGGGUGACGAGCGGCGGACGGGUGAGUAAUGUCUGGGAAACUGCCUGAUGGAGGGGGAUAACUACUGGAAACGGUAGCUAAUACCGCAUAACGUCGCAAGACCAAAGAGGGGGACCUUCGGGCCUCUUGCCAUCAGAUGUGCCCAGAUGGGAUUAGCUAGUAGGUGGGGUAACGGCUCACCUAGGCGACGAUCCCUAGCUGGUCUGAGAGGAUGACCGGCCACACUGGAACUGAGACACGGUCCAGACUCCUACGGGAGGCAGCAGUGGGGAAUAUUGCACAAUGGGCGCAAGCCUGAUGCAGCCAUGCCGCGUGUAUGAAGAAGGCCUUCGGGUUGUAAAGUACUUUCAGCGAGGAGGAAGGUGUUGAGGUUAAUAACCUCAGCAAUUGACGUUACUCGCAGAAGAAGCACCGGCUAACUCCGUGCCAGCCGCCGCGGUAA
This 504-nucleotide ribosomal RNA is filed under the name uncultured bacterium. RNAcentral's name for it is "partial 16S ribosomal RNA". It matches the Rfam family "Bacterial small subunit ribosomal RNA", at positions 30 to 523 of the family's 1533-position model. The record is from RNAcentral.